This 241-nucleotide long non-coding RNA is filed under the name Nicotiana benthamiana. RNAcentral describes it as "long non-coding RNA (NBEN_LNC027514)". Lineage: Eukaryota; Viridiplantae; Streptophyta; Magnoliopsida; Solanales; Solanaceae. The record is from RNAcentral.
AUCUCAGACCAUAACCCCAUAAUAUUGACACUGAAUGCAUCCUCCUGGCAUGGGAAGAGGAACUUCAAAUUCUUUAAUGUAUGGGCUGAUCAUAAAGAUUUCCAACACAUUGUGACAAGAGUAUGGCAGGAUGGGAAGACAGAUACCAUGAGAACAAUAUGGGACAAACUCAAAGCCUUGAAGACUCCCUUGAAGACCCUGAAUAAUAAGGAGUUCAAGACAAUUGCACUUAGAAUAGAAC